RNAcentral lists this long non-coding RNA (1213 nucleotides) under Sus scrofa (pig). RNAcentral's name for it is "lncRNA (ENSSSCG00065006246.1)". Lineage: Eukaryota; Metazoa; Chordata; Mammalia; Artiodactyla; Suidae. The record is from RNAcentral.
UUUUUUUGUGUUAAAAGACAUUUUUAUUCCACCCUUAAGCAACAGUGUUUCCAAAAUUUCUUCAUAGGCUCUAAGAGGAGGCAUGUGGUAAGGCCAAGAUUUGGGAAACUUGAAGUUCCUGUUGUGACUCAGCAGUUAAGGAACCCAACUAGUGUCCAUGAGGAGACUGCAAGCACACCAAGGGGAGUUUCUGGACAGCUAGAGGACAUCUGAGGAGCACGGCUAAGCCUCAAACCCUCCUUAGGACUACUGUGAACCCCUAUACUUCUGCAGCUACAGUUCCAAAUUUCUGGGCUCCGUCCCAACAAAAUGUCUAGAAAAAUUUGCUCUAUUUUUGAUCCUCGUUUUUUUUUUUUCUCAUUUCAGAACAGUGAUGGCUUUUCCAGGUAAAGCAUCUUGUUACCUUAUAAGUUUCAUUAAAUAGAUGGCCUUUGAACUAGACCUUGCAGAAUGGGUAAAAUUUAUUUUGGAAAAGAAGUGAAAGAGGGCUAUCAGAGAGUGUUUUCAUGAAUGUAUAAGCCUGGAAUCUGGAUGUCUUUGAUAAGGAGCGAUAAAAGGGUACAUUUGGGUGUGGAUUAAUUCACUUACUCAGUAUAUACAUAUAUAUAGAAACCACAAUUUGAUACAGGAAAUAUAGCAAAGGAUUAGACCUGGUCCAGCUCUCAUGAUGUUCAGAGACAGUGAUGGUUCCGGGGGCAGAGAGACGCAGUGGACAUCAAGAGGUGGGCUAAUUCAUUAUUUGAAGAAUCUUCAAUGACACACAAAGGAGUUUGAAUUUUAUCCCAUCACUACUUAUAACAGCACUUUUUUUGACACUAAUCACAUGCUGGGCAGUAUUCACUAUUUAUUAUUGUAACAACCUUAUGAUAUAGAGAGAUAUUUGUUAUCUCCAUUUUACUGACAGGGAGACUGAAGCAUGGAGUAGGUACCUAACUUGGCUAAGGACUCAGAGCUAAUAAGAGGUAGAGUCAGGAUUGAGUCCAGGUAUUUUGGCUUCAGAGUCUAUAGUCUUAUCAUUUGUAAAUAUAUAAUAUGUGGCUAAAGCGAAGCUUUUUUAUAUGAAAAAAGUAAAACAAGGUUAAUGAUGUUGGGAAAAAUCAUUGGAAGAUGCAGCAGUGUGUAUCAGAGCCUGGACUAGACUCCACAAGGCUUUAGGUCCAUUGCUGCUUCUGCUCCACAUAGAGUGUGCACUAGUGUGCAAAAACUUUGUGGA